Molecule: non-coding RNA, 23 nt
Filed under: Arabidopsis thaliana (thale cress)
Lineage: Eukaryota; Viridiplantae; Streptophyta; Magnoliopsida; Brassicales; Brassicaceae
Source: RNAcentral
AUCAGCGGUUGCAAGAAGACAUC